This is a small nucleolar RNA of Ipomoea triloba (trilobed morning glory), 133 nucleotides long. The record is from RefSeq and is a predicted model, not a curated record. NCBI's taxonomy places the organism in Eukaryota, Viridiplantae, Streptophyta, Magnoliopsida, Solanales, Convolvulaceae.
GAGCAAGGGCGUUGAACUAGUAUAAAUGGCGCUACUUGCAUUGAAGGUUGGCGAAAUAAGUAUUUGCUAUUCUCCGUGCCUCUCAAAUCAUAUAAAAUUCGUUUUGAUCAGGCCUCGAACAAGUUGCUACAUU